Molecule: ribosomal RNA, 434 nt
Filed under: Artemia urmiana
Lineage: Eukaryota; Metazoa; Arthropoda; Branchiopoda; Anostraca; Artemiidae
Description: partial large subunit ribosomal RNA
Rfam family: Archaeal large subunit ribosomal RNA
Source: RNAcentral
UUAAAGGGCCGUGGUAUACUGACCAUGCGAAGGUAGCAUAAUCAUUAGCCUUUUGAUUUGAGGCUGGAAUGAAUGGUCUGACGAGAGGCAACCUGUCUCCUUAAUUAAUUUGAAUUUAAUCUUUAAGUGAAAAAGCUUAAAUAGUCUUGGAGGACGAUAAGACCCUAUAGAUCUUUACAUCCGGCCUUUUCAUCUAACGGUGGGUAAUCGGGUGGAAGAGAAGGAUGUUUGGUUGGGGCGACGUCGAGAGGAGAAUAAACACUCGAGAAUAUACAUACAUCAAUAAAUGAUCAUUGAUCCUUAGAUGAAAAUAGAGUAAGUUACCUUAGGGAUAACAGCGUAAUUCUUUUUGAGAGCUCAAAUCGACAAAAGAGUUUGCGACCUCGAUGUUGGUUCAGGGACCCUAUUUGGUGCAGCAGCUUAAUCAGGUAGUC